This 69-nucleotide transfer RNA is filed under the name Ranacephala hogei (Hoge's toadhead turtle). RNAcentral describes it as "Mesoclemmys hogei (Hoge's toadhead turtle) tRNA-Met". It matches the Rfam family "tRNA". From Rfam's summary of the family: Transfer RNA (tRNA) molecules are approximately 80 nucleotides in length. Their secondary structure includes four short double-helical elements and three loops (D, anti-codon, and T loops). Further hydrogen bonds mediate the characteristic L-shaped molecular structure. tRNAs have two regions of fundamental functional importance: the anti-codon, which is responsible for specific mRNA codon recognition, and the 3' end, to which the tRNAs corresponding amino acid is attached (by aminoacyl-tRNA synthetases). tRNAs cope with the degeneracy of the genetic code in two manners: having more than one tRNA (with a specific anti-codon) for a particular amino acid; and 'wobble' base-pairing, i.e. permitting non-standard base-pairing at the 3rd anti-codon position. The record is from RNAcentral. Lineage: Eukaryota; Metazoa; Chordata; Testudines; Chelidae.
AGUAAAGUCAGCUAAUAAAGCUAUCGGGCCCAUACCCCGACAAUGUUGGUUUAAAUCCCCCCUUUACUA